GUGUUCGCUUCCGCAGCACAUAUACUAAAAUUGGAAUGAUGCAGAAAAGAUUAGCAUGGCCCUUACACAAGGAUGACACAAAAAUUUAAAAAAAAAGAAAAAAACGUUU
Molecule: small nuclear RNA, 109 nt
Filed under: Prolemur simus (greater bamboo lemur)
Lineage: Eukaryota; Metazoa; Chordata; Mammalia; Primates; Lemuridae
Source: RNAcentral